RNAcentral lists this long non-coding RNA (6711 nucleotides) under Homo sapiens (human). RNAcentral's name for it is "HSALNT0053374". The record is from RNAcentral. Lineage: Eukaryota; Metazoa; Chordata; Mammalia; Primates; Hominidae.
CAGGACUUGCAUAGGAAUUGCAACACCUGUGGCCUAGACUGCCCCUCAAGUUCACUUAGGGCCCCAGAGCACUCCAGCACACAGUGGCAGGGCUUUUAUCAAGUCAUGCUGGGAUAGAUAAUUCUGUCUGGUUAGGGCCAGUCCAAAUGCUCCCUCUGUGGGCAGAUGUCAGCUGAGUACAGCCCAGUUCUGCUUUCCACUGUGAUGGGGCAGCACUGAGUUCAGUGCAAAACCUCAUAAUCACCACACUCUCCCUCUUCAAAGCACACAGAUUCUCCACACCAUGCAGCCACUUCUGAGGAAUGGGGAACAGGUGGCAUCAGCACUUCAAGACUGUCUUUCUUGCUCUCUUCAAUAAUUCUUUCACUGAUAGAAGUUAAAACCAGGCAGAGGUGGCUGAGCAGUCCUGGUCUCAGAAUUCUCUCACGUUCCUGGUAAUUGACUAUUGGUUGAUCUUGGCUGAGAUGACUCUGGUGACUUGCCGGUUCCCACGUUGUGUGUCCCAUCCUCCAGGAGCCAGACUGGGCAUGUUGUCAUGGUGAUGACAGAAGGCAAGAACAGAAACGUAAAUGGAAACAUGCAAGUACUCUUUCGAGCAUUUGUUUGUGUCACAUCUACUAACCUCCCAUUGGAUAAAGCAAGUCACAUGGCUUUUAAUGAAAGAGUUAAAGCUUUAACAACACCUCUGGAGGCUUCCAUAGUCAAGAAUUUUGAGGUUUAGUUGAGUAAAAUGGCAGAGUCAAAAGAAUAAACCAUCAGAUGGAAUGUCUUAGGAAGACUGCAGUAACAAGAAAUUUUAAGAGCUUCAAGCCAGGAAGAUCUUAGCUUGAAGAAAUCCUCACCCCACCAUUUUAUAAAUAAAUAAAUAAAUAAAUAAAUAAAUAAAUAAAUAAAUAAAUAAAAAAAAAUAAAGCCCAGAGGGGUUCAAGUGCAUUUUCAAAGGGAGAGAGAUGGAGCUAGAACAAGAAUCCAAGUCUUUUGCUCAGCCCAGUGUUCCUUCUGUUGCCUGAAGUUUCUCUGGCCAUUGGCCACUCGGCUCCUCUAUAAUGUUCACCUCUAACCUUUGUUUUCAUUUUCCUAUCAUCCAACUGCGUGAUAAUAAAUUGGUCUCAGUACUCUGUUUUCUUAAUUCCUAGUAGAAGCUGAAGGCAUUGCUUUUCUCCUGGGAACACUGUUUGGUGCUGACUGAUUGGAGGUGCCUCCCCUGGGUUUGCAGAGGGAGCAAGGUUUUAGUUCCUGGAAAAUUUAAUACACAAUUUGAUCUUUGCUACUCUACUGAACUUCUCCUAAGCUUGCCUUUCCUUAUCUCCUUGCUCUCCCAGCUGCCAGGUAAUUUGAUCUGGAUCUGUCUUAUCAGUCCUAGGCCAGCAAGCAGGUGAUGAAUGAGGGGCUGGGGAAGCAGCUGUCUCUUCUUUGAGGCCACCGGCAUUUUUGGAAGAGACUCUAUGCGUGGCAGUUGCUGGAAAUGGAGAGUUCUUGGCAUUCCUGGGGCUUUACAGUGGUCUGGUCAUUGAGGCUCCCUACCAGAGGACAGAAUUUCCCUGGCUUAACCCUGGUUGAUCUUAAAAUAAUCACUCACACUUAUAAAUCAUAUUCAGAGUCUUGAAUUGAACUAGAGUGUAAAAUAGUGCUGCAGAUGGAUUAUUCAUCCUUCUGAAAGAGAAGCCUUAAUGGUACAAUGGUGGUGCUGCCCCAAGUAACCUGGAUAGGUCUUAUGCUUCAGAUGUGAGAUUAAAGGAUCAAGGGGAAGCUGUUGAGUCAUGGCAUCUGACCCACUUAAACCUGUUAGACUCUCUUCAAGAAUCUAAUAUGUCCUUUGAGAGGAAUCACCUCUGAGUUGUAUCUCUUCUGCAUGGCUACAGGGAGAAAGCCUGCUAUAUCUACUGGAAUAAAAAAGGAAGCAGAGAAAAUGGAAUCUAGACAAAUGGAUAUCCGGAUCCAGCUGGACAAAGCCCUGUGAUGUUAAAGCCACCAGUCUGACUCUGUAGGACACUGUCGCUACCACAUCCCAAAAGGAAAUGUACCCAGCCUGCCUACUUGCCACUCAGCAUCCCUCCCAGGGGAAAGAGCUAUGCCUUAGGGGUGUGAUGUCACAAACAAGUCAACCAUCGUUUAGAGGCAUCAUUUCAAGGUUCCCCCUCUCUGCUUCUCAGCUUACUUUCCCUCUGCUGCUGUCACCUGGCUGUCAGCAUCCAAAUUAGCACAGAGCCCCAACCCAAGCAAGCAUCAACUGGAUUGUCAGCCCAGUGAAUGACCCACCCUGGGGACCUGCUGUUAUACCCUGCCUCAGCUGUCACCUUCCUGUGGCCUUCCUCUUUCCCCGGGCAUGCAGAGCCAUGAAAACAGCAGUAAGCUUCUCCCUGAGAAAGAAAAAGCUGCGUGUAAGGUCAGGUAAACACAGGGCCAGAGAAAGCUCUCCCUUCCCCCAUCCCACAGACACAUCUUAUCCUCGCCCCAAGCUAAGGACCUCUAAAUCCAGCCACAGUAGCAAUGCUGGGAUGGCAGGAAAAUGUUCAGCCUGGAAACCACAACCUCUGCAGCACAGCAGCCAGCACCAGUGAAGGACAUGGAGUUAAAUCGAAAAGGAAUUUGAAUGACAAAGUGACAUUAUGUCUAUCUCCCUAAUGAUGGGACAAGUUGGUCUUCUGUCAUUGGCAAGGCAAAACUGCCAGGACCAGAUGUGUAUUUAAAAGCUAUUUCUCAUGGUUUUAAGUCACCAGGUCAGCUCGAUACCUAAAACAAAGAGAAUGAAUUAUGGAACAGGACGAGGGGAGCUUGUUAAUUUUCCUACUGAUGCACUGUGAAAUGAAAGCUUUAUUCUAAGAAUGGUAUAUCCUCAGGGCUCUCUCUGGAGAGACAAAUUCAAAUGUCCUUACUGUUUUCUUUGUCCCUUACUUUAUGGCUUUUUCUGUACACAUUUACGAAGUAUAUAUAUUUCAUGGUAUGUCUGUGUCUAUAGGACUCAGGGAGUUCAAGUCUGUGAUUCUCUUUAGGGCUUCCUUGACAAUAAGGAGUGCUUAGGUGAUGUUAUUGAUGAAUACACACACACACACACAAUUAGAAUUUGUGGCCAGCCUGUCUGUAUAUAUUAUAGAGACAUCCAUGCAGGCUGCUUGCUAUUGUCUGCACUAGUGAGCUAUAGCCCAUCUCCAAUUGGAACCCAAUGAAAUAAUCAUAACAAUUUUGCCUUCAUGUAUCACCUUUCAUCAGGGAGGAUGAAAGGACUUCACAAACUCUGGGUUCUUCUUUGAUCUAGGCGCCUAUCUGGUACACCGAUCUCCAUUGUGUAUUCUGCCCUCACCCUGCCGAUGGGCCUCCCAUUGACAGUAAUUGAACUUCCAUAUGCAGAGCAGCCAAAAGGCCGGCCUGGCCAGAGAGACUUCUGUCAGCUGCCAGGAGGGAGAGGGCUGCUUCCAGAAGGGACUUGGGUUGCUGUUCUGCAUCUGCAACAGGGGGCAGGGAUUAUAAAUGUGGGGAAAGAGGCAAGUAAUUCUUAAGCUGCAACUUCAGUUUGAGAGAGGGGUGCUUAAUAGGAGAUGGAGGAACAUUCUAGGUAACAUGAUAAAAUAAAUCUCCAGAAUGUGGGUGUUGCCUAAGGCUCUGCUCUUCACUGUCUUCUCUUCCAUAUCGACUUUAGCUAUUAGCUUUAUGGGAAGGACUCCGAAAUAUGUAUCCCAGGCUCAAACUCUCUUGGGUCUAGCCAGGCAUCUCUAGCUGUCUCCUGGGCAUUUCCAUCCACAUAUUUCACUGGAACAUCAAUCACAGCUUCUACCAAAUAUUAUAUAUGAUUCUUCCUCCUCCUUCACUCUCAAAUAGCUCCCUUCCCUGACCUUCCUACUUGUAGUCACUGAUGUUACAGCCACAAGUAAUUUAGCCAAUAUCUGUGUUCUCGUGGAGCUUGCAUUUUAGAGAGGGGUGAGAGAAUCCAAUAAACAAGCAAUAAAUGAAGAAGAGAAAUAGCAGGAAAUGAUAGUUUAGGUGGUGAUGGGUUAGGGGUGUGGACCUCUUUGGACUGAGUGACCAACAUUGGCUUCUCCAGGGAGGAAACUAUUCCAGGUGCAGGGAACAGCAAGCACCAAAGCCCUGAGAGAGCCAAGGCCCCAAACAGAAAAGAUGCUGAGCUGCUGGAGCAUGAUAACAGGAGAGUGGGAGGAGAUGAGGUUAGAGAGGUGGCCAGUGAUUAGAUGAGGUGAGGCUUUGGUGAUGGGAUGCAGAGUUUGGAAUCUAAGCCAAGUGCUGUCCAAAGCCAGGGAGGGUUUCCAGCAGCGGCUUGUGGGAGCUGAUGUCCAUUAGUAGCACCUCUCAGCUGAGACUUUGAGUCACUUUGACUCUUCUCUGUAUCACACACCUCUCUCCAUACAGGCAGUGUCUAAUGUGGAAUGAGAGAAAGGUUUUGGUAACCCUCCAACUCCCUUUGCUUCUCCCCUCCAGGGUCCCGGACAGAGUUUUCUGUGUUCAAAAGAACUAGAAGCCAAACAGAAAAUAAAGCAUCCUUUUUGUGAUCGCUGGGAAAGGACAACAUACCCUUCAGGCUGUAAAUGUGGCUUAGGCUAGCAGACUAAAGCUUAGUUUCCCAAUUUUUCUGAGAAUAUAGAUCUUGGGACCCACCUGCUCAGGCAUGCUUGCUGUUGGAGGGGGUGAGAAUGGGUGGUCUCAUGGAGAGUGGUUGCUACACCCAUCUCCCAGCUGCUGAGAGUGUUGUCUGCUAAGGAAAUCACAGCUGCCCUCCUCAGAGAAUCGCCAUUGGGAGGUUCCCCACCUUCCCACCAGGGGCAGCAUGUAAUCCAUGACUGGCAUAGGGUACAAAAGGCAGGCCCCUUACCUCUAGGUGAGACAAUUCUGUGGUACAGUUCAUACUCCAGAGCUCCCGUGGGAACAGGUCCAAGAAGUGUCCAGCUGAGACCCCAACCUUGCUCAGUCCUCUGCUGCACCUGGCUUACCUUCCCCCCUUCUCCUGAGAGCAUUUUCUCAAGAGACAUGUGCACUUCAUCAUCUUAUCAGGAUCUGCUUCUACGGAAUGCAACCUAAGACAAGUGGAGAUAGAGCCAGGCCUUUUAAGGAGCCCUGACAAAUCUCUACAAAAUUUCCAUUCACUUCUCCCUUUUAAAUUCAUUCAUUUAUUCAACAAAUACAUUGAAACAUGUUUUGUACACUCUGGCACACAAGAAAUCAGGUAGGCACAGCCCAUUCCCUCAUAGAGCUUACAAACCAGGAAGAAAGGCAGACAUCAAACUGGUAAAUGCAUUCAUUUGGGUGCAUCAUGUUGAGAGUAGUCUUCGUCAUUGUAAUGGGACUGUUUGCCUCCAAGUCCCUAUUUCUAAGACGAUGAAGGAACAGGAGUAAGCCCGGACACCAGAGCCUUUCUUCUGCUUUGCGAGCUGCUGAUAUGUAGCUGGGAUCUCUUUGUGUCCCCGCUGGGCUGACACUCACCAGUGAGCCAAGAAGGGAGGGGUGGUUAAAGGCGUGAGGACCCCGAAGGGGACCCCUUGAAAGUGCUCACUCUUCCUUCUACUAAUUAUUUUGUUUUUUUAAAAGCUUGCCCUGUUUAGUCUCUCAGGAGGUUUUCCUGCCCACGGGGGGUAUGGCUGCCUCCCAGGAGAAUCUGGCCAGGAUUUACACCACCCAGCCCACAAAAUCCUGAACAGCUCAGGACCAGCCCAUGCUAUUGUGAGCUGAGAGUCACUCUUCAGUUCUCAUGAUUGCAGGUAAAUAAAUGUUCCAGCCGUCCCGAGCUCUCACAUGAAGACUACCUGCCAAGGAAUUUUUUCCUCUGGGACCCAUGGCCACAUUGCUGGGCUGAGACUUUCUUGCAUUCAUAGAAUUCCCCUGUUACAACGGCCACUAGUCAGCUCCCAUUGCCUUAGUUUCCUGCUUGAAGGAGGUAGAAGAGAACUGCUGGCUGAUGCUUGUUUAAUUCACUGUGAAGGGUGCAGUUUAAGGAAGAUCUCCCUCAAAGGCAGCCACAUUCCGGACUCCUCUAUAAGUGCUUACUAAUGGAAGAGAUAAUUUGGGGUCAGGGCCAGCUUCGUGGGCCCCUGACCUGUGCAGUUUACAUAGGACUCCACACUUAGAAGGGCCCUACUCUUGGUUUAAUGUUCUGUUAUUGCUGUCUUAAAAUUCUUAAUAAUUUCUAAACAAGGGUCCCUACCUUUUCAUCUUACCUUAGGCCCCACAGAUUAUGUAGCUAGUCUGGUUUGGGAUCAUGCAUCAAGACUUGUUCCAGGUUGCCUGCCAAGAGGCAGAGAGAAAGGUAAAACUUCCCUUGGAUCUCUUUCACCCCAGGAUGCUGGUGAAUUCUAAAGGCACAGGGGCAGAUUUCUGCAGUUGAACAGUGUCUCUGGGGAGAGUAUAUUCACAAUACAGAACCAUCAGUCUGUACAGAGCCCAACGUGGUGGACAGUUGCUGACUGUCAGGGGUAGCUGCAGAGGGAGAAUGGAGAUGUAGGAGCAGGAAAAAUCUGCUUGAUUGUGAAUAGAACUAGAUCUGUUUUUUCUUGGUAUGGCAGGUGUUUGGAGCUGAUCAUUUUUCUUAGGGAGCAUCUGGGGGCUCCUUGAAGGUCUCCUGUUGGCCCUUCACUGGGUGUUCCCUUCAUCCUAACAGAUGCUUCUCGCUUCCAGGAGUCAGUUGAGGGCUCUUCCACAGCCCCUAGAGAUCCAGCAUCUCCCCUCAGCUCCUGGGGCCCCUGUUGAGAUGAACCCAAGCAAAUCCCA